AUGGACCUGCACCACGUCCUCCCCGAAAUAAGUGACCCAGCCUCCUUGCGGAGUGACCUACCCGGAAACCACGCCUUCCUGGGCUCAGCACGGGAACUGGGCCAGUGCAUAAGGGAGAGCCGCGGCACUGUGAGGGCGCAGUCAGCAGCUGGUUCCGGCUUGGAGCGUAGCUCUUCCACAACGGUGAUUUCGGGUCGCUGGCCAGGGGAGGAGUUUGAGAGUGGAAAUGGAUGGCAAAGCCGGGCUUCUCAGAUCCGUGUUCUGCUUGAGCAGAAGUCCUGGGGUUUGAUCAGCUUGAAGAGCCUUAGGCCAACUGUCUGCCUGAGCCAAUUACUAAUGAUGCGAUUGGAAGAGAACGCGCAGUGUGGCACGGAAGCAGCCCUUCUGAAACCGUGGGGACAUCAGCCAACACAGGGAAGAUGGCAUAAAGGGAUUGUGACGUCUUGA
Molecule: long non-coding RNA, 447 nt
Filed under: Oryctolagus cuniculus (rabbit)
Lineage: Eukaryota; Metazoa; Chordata; Mammalia; Lagomorpha; Leporidae
Description: lncRNA (ENSOCUG00000030403.1)
Source: RNAcentral